AUUGAACGCUGGCGGCAGGCUUAACACAUGCAAGUCGAGCGGGGUGAUGGUGCUUGCACUAUCACUUAGCGGCGGACGGGUGAGUAAUGCUUAGGAAUCUGCCUAUUAGUGGGGGACAACAUCUCGAAAGGGAUGCUAAUACCGCAUACGUCCUACGGGAGAAAGCAGGGGAUCACUUGUGACCUUGCGCUAAUAGAUGAGCCUAAGUCGGAUUAGCUAGUUGGUGGGGUAAAGGCCUACCAAGGCGACGAUCUGUAGCGGGUCUGAGAGGAUGCUCCGACACACUGGGACUGAGACACGGCCCAGACUCCUACGGGAGGCAGCAGUGGGGAAUAUUGGACAAUGGGGGGAACCCUGAUCCAGCCAUGCCGCGUGUGUGAAGAAGGCCUUAUGGUUGUAAAACACUUUAAGCGAGGAGGAGGCUCUUUUGGUUAAUACCCAAGAUGAGUGGACGUUACUCGCAGAAUAAGCACCGGCUAACUCUGUGCCAGCAGCCGCAGUAA
Molecule: ribosomal RNA, 503 nt
Filed under: uncultured bacterium
Lineage: Bacteria
Description: partial 16S ribosomal RNA
Rfam family: Bacterial small subunit ribosomal RNA
Source: RNAcentral